RNAcentral lists this ribosomal RNA (669 nucleotides) under uncultured bacterium. RNAcentral describes it as "bacterial SSU rRNA". It matches the Rfam family "Bacterial small subunit ribosomal RNA", at positions 8 to 724 of the family's 1533-position model. The record is from RNAcentral.
AGAGUUUGAUCCUGGCUCAGAACGAACGCUGGCGGCAUGCCUAACACAUGCAAGUCGAACGAGACCUUCGGGUCUAGUGGCGCACGGGUGCGUAACGCGUGGGAAUCUGCCCUUGGGUUCGGAACAACAGUUGGAAACGACUGCUAAUACCGGAUGAUGACUUCGGUCCAAAGAUUUAUCGCCCAGGGAUGAGCCCGCGUAGGAUUAGCUUGUUGGUGAGGUAAAAGCUCACCAAGGCGACGAUCCUUAGCUGGUCUGAGAGGAUGAUCAGCCACACUGGGACUGAGACACGGCCCAGACUCCUACGGGAGGCAGCAGUGGGGAAUAUUGGACAAUGGGCGAAAGCCUGAUCCAGCAAUGCCGCGUGAGUGAUGAAGGCCUUAGGGUUGUAAAGCUCUUUUACCCGGGAUGAUAAUGACAGUACCGGGAGAAUAAGCCCCGGCUAACUCCGUGCCAGCAGCCGCGGUAAUACGGAGGGGGCUAGCGUUGUUCGGAAUUACUGGGCGUAAAGCGCACGUAUGCGGCUUUGUAAGUUAGAGGUGAAAGCCCAGGGCUCAACUCUGGAACUGCCUUUAAGACUGCAUCGCUUUGAAUUGUGGAGAGGUAAGUGGAAUUCCGAGUGGAGAGUGAAUUCGUAGAUAUUUCGAUGAUCACCCUUGUCCAAAGCGU